Molecule: ribosomal RNA, 209 nt
Filed under: uncultured bacterium
Lineage: Bacteria
Description: partial 16S ribosomal RNA
Rfam family: Bacterial small subunit ribosomal RNA
Source: RNAcentral
GACGAACGCUGGCGGCGUGCUUAACACAUGCAAGUCGAGCGGUAAGGCCCUUUCGGGGGUACGACGAGCGGCGAACGGGUAGAGUAACAACGUGGGUGACCUCGCCCUCCAGCUCUGGGAGUAAGACCCGGGAAACCGUAGGGUCGUAAUAACCGGAUAUGACUUCAUGACGCAUGUUGUGGAGUGGAAAGACCUUGUGCGGCUGAGGA